Molecule: ribosomal RNA, 450 nt
Filed under: uncultured bacterium
Lineage: Bacteria
Description: partial 16S ribosomal RNA
Rfam family: Bacterial small subunit ribosomal RNA
Source: RNAcentral
GUGGGGAAUAUUGGACAAUGGGCGCAAGCCUGAUCCAGCCAUGCCGCGUGUGUGAAGAAGGUCUUCGGAUUGUAAAGCACUUUAAGUUGGGAGGAAGGGCAGUAAGUUAAUACCUUGCUGUUUUGACGUUACCGACAGAAUAAGCACCGGCUAACUUCGUGCCAGCAGCCGCGGUAAUACGAAGGGUGCAAGCGUUAAUCGGAAUUACUGGGCGUAAAGCGCGCGUAGGUGGUUUUGUAAGUUGGAGGUGAAAUCCACGGGCUCAACCUGGGAACUGCCUCCAAAACUGCAUGACUAGAGUACGGUAGAGGGUAGUGGAAUAUCCUGUGUAGCGGUGAAAUGCGUAGAUAUAGGAAGGAACACCAGUGGCGAAGGCGACUACCUGGACUGAUACUGACACUGAGGUGCGAAAGCGUGGGGAGCAAACAGGAUUAGAAACCCCAGUAGUCC